This 257-nucleotide unclassified non-coding RNA is filed under the name Hevea brasiliensis (rubber tree). The record is from RNAcentral. Lineage: Eukaryota; Viridiplantae; Streptophyta; Magnoliopsida; Malpighiales; Euphorbiaceae.
GUUGCAGUUACUAUGUUCAUAUUUGGUUAUCAUAUUAACUGCAACCACAAGGAUAAAAAUAAAUUACAGAAAAUCAUAAGCCUCCUCUUGCCAUUGGCUAAAUGCAAAAAUGAACAGAACAACCUUGCCCACAUCCACAUGAUUGAGAAAAUUAAACACAAAACCAAUCAAUGAUGAUAAGCCACAUCUCAUGCUACUAAAAUCAGUUCAGGAUAAAAUUUAGCUCAUUGGCCAAGGCAAGCAUUUAGCUAAAGCAA